This 126-nucleotide small RNA is filed under the name Marmota monax (woodchuck). Lineage: Eukaryota; Metazoa; Chordata; Mammalia; Rodentia; Sciuridae. The record is from RNAcentral.
GUUGGGCGUGGUGGCGCACACCUGUAAUCCCAGCAGUUUGGGAGGCUGAGGCAGGAGGAUUGCAAGUUCGGACUAGCCUCGGCAAUUUAGUGAAGCCUUAAGGAACUUAGCGAGACCCUGUCUCAA